GGAGAUUUGCUUGGUAACAGGAGGCUACAGUUUCCUGUAAGGAUUAAAGCAGAAGGUACUUCCUCACUGUAGUGACUCAGGAGACCGGAAUCUCUUGUUUGUAAGAAAAAUGGCCGUGUUUGAGCUCCAUCUGCUUCCUUAACUUUUCAGUCUGAUGAAACAGAUUUAUCUUUUUGGUUUUGUCUGACCUCUUUUGGGCCCCACCAGGGACUCAACCCAAAGCAAUGGCUUCUCAUCAUUUCAGUUUACUACAUCUUUUAAAAGGUGAACGUGUAUGCGGAUGCUCCUAGAGACCAGAGGCUCCCUUGGAGCUGGAGUAACAGGGAACUGUGAGGUGCCUGAAGCAGGCGUUGGGAGCUGAGCUCCAGGUCUCUGCGAGAGCAGCAAGUGCUCUUAACCUCGGAGCAACUUCAAAGAAUUCGGCGGUCUGUGCUGCCGACGGGAGCCAGAAGGUGGCGCCAGAUCCCCAGAACCGGAGUUAGAGUUCUGGGGUGGCCACUGAGAUUGCCGGGAACAAGCGCUCCUUACCUGCUGGGGCGCUUGCAUUUCAAACUUACCUUCACAUUGAAGAACUGUAUUUGGUAAAGCCCCAGUUCACAGCUUUUGAAGAAGCUAACAUUUGAUGAAGCUGAGACUAAAACGCCCCCAAUGACAGUGACUUCAUGAUGGAGAAGACACAGUGCCCUUGUAAACCGCAAGAGGCUGUCUACUUU
Molecule: long non-coding RNA, 713 nt
Organism: Peromyscus leucopus (white-footed mouse)
Lineage: Eukaryota; Metazoa; Chordata; Mammalia; Rodentia; Cricetidae
Exons: 3
Source: RefSeq, a predicted model, not a curated record